AUCUGAAAAGUGACAUUUUUCGGCAUAUUUGGUAGAUUGUUCAUAUUUGAGCUUGAAUCGAGUCGUUUUUAAUGACUAAAUCAGUUAAAAUCUUUCACAUAAACUAAUUGAUUCAAAUGAAAUAGACACUUAAGUGUUUAAAAAGGGGUCAAAAUCUUUCGUAAGAUGAACCUGAAAUUUGAGGCCAAAAUCGGUCCUUACCGGACCUACUCCU
Molecule: long non-coding RNA, 214 nt
Filed under: Mytilus galloprovincialis (Mediterranean mussel)
Lineage: Eukaryota; Metazoa; Mollusca; Bivalvia; Mytilida; Mytilidae
Source: RNAcentral